RNAcentral lists this long non-coding RNA (1269 nucleotides) under Equus asinus (donkey). RNAcentral describes it as "lncRNA (ENSEASG00005027376.1)". Lineage: Eukaryota; Metazoa; Chordata; Mammalia; Perissodactyla; Equidae. The record is from RNAcentral.
GAGGAUUAGGGAACCUUAAAAAACAAGAAUCCCAGGUCACUCUAGUUAUAACAAUUCCUCUGAACUGCUUGAAUCAAACAAACAUAAAAGUUUAAUUCCACUCUUUUUACCUGGAAUUCCAAAUCACCCUCUGGAAGCAUAUCUUAGUGUUCUCACAACGGGUUUGUGGCCUUAACGGAAAAAUAGAAUGAUUCUUAAGUCUACUUUUUAGAUUCUUGGAGCCCUCUGCAUCACGAGGCCCUUUAAGUGUUUCCUUGAAUCCUCGCACCAACUCAGGGAAGUAGGUGUUACAUCCUCAUUUCACACAUGAGGAAACUGAGGCUCACCAGAGUUCAAUUACUUGUGUGCGGUCAUAUCGUGUGAGGGGAGAAGGCAGGACCUGAACCUGGCAGUUUGCUCUGCAGAAUUGACCUUCCCGUCUGCAAGGCCAUGACAGCUCUGAAAAGGUGAACGUAGAAGAGUGGGGGCUCCAUCUUUCACCCAGGAACCCUCCUGCCGCCAGUGACCCUAAGUGUGCAGGCUGAGCUUCCACAGGGCUGUGGUGCUGGGCCAUAGGGCAAAGCCAGGAGGGAGAGCUGGGAACAACUGGAACAAGCAGGAAGCUUCUCUUAGGAACAAGCUCCUCUGCUCAACCCUCCAGGCUGGACACGUUGGAGGAGAGAGGGCUCCAGGCGAGGAAAGCAGAUGACUUGAGCAGAUGACUUGGUCUGUCAUAGCGCAUGCACAAGCCCACCGUCAGAGCAGCUGAAACACACAGGCACUGAAAGGCACUGUAGGAGGACAUUUGUGACAGCGUGGUGAUGAAUUCGUGACGAGGCGGCAGCGUAGACUUGAAACAGGUCCACGUGUUUCUCUGCAUUUAGCCAAGACCAAACCAGAACGCACGCCCCUGGACGCGCAGCUGGAUGCAUGAAACAAAGAGGUUUUCUAUUUUGUCAUGAAAGGGACAUAAUUUGGGGGGAAAAGCCCUGCCCAAACCAGAAGUUCAGUUUGCGUUUGUUUCAGCCAAACUGCUUCAAGCCUGGUCACAGACUUCUGUGGACCUCGAUUGUUGCAGAAAUGUUUUUUAAAAAGCCUUUUAGGUUUUGUUAAACCUCUCCAGAAGUUUAUUUCAAAAUAAAGGAGUUACUAACACAGCUUUUCCAACGUUAGAUCAUAUUGUAAAGAACUCAUACAAUUCACUAGCAAAUAAAAAAAAUCGAUUAAAAUAUAGGCAGAGGAUCUGAAUAGACAUUUUUCCAGAGAAGACACACAGAUGGCCAAGAGGCA